GUAGCGGCGAGCGAACCUGGAUUAGCCCUUAAGCACUCGGUGAAGUAGGUGAACAAGCUGGAAAGCUUGGCGAUACAGGGUGAUAGCCCCGUAACCGACGCUUCAUCGAGCGUGAAAUCGAGUAGGGCGGGACACGUGAUAUCCUGUCUGAAUAUGGGGGGACCAUCCUCCAAGGCUAAAUACUCCUGACUGACCGAUAGUGAACCAGUACCGUGAGGGAAAGGCGAAAAGAACCCCUGUGAGGGGAGUGAAAUAGAACCUGAAACCGUGUACGUACAAGCAGUAGGAGCACCUUCGUGGUGUGACUGCGUACCUUUUGUAUAAUGGGUCAGCGACUUAUAUUCAGUGGCAAGGUUAACCGUAUAGGGGAGCCGUAGCGAAAGCGAGUCUUAACUGGGCGCUCAGUCUCUGGAUAUAGACCCGAAACCGGGUGAUCUAGCCAUGGGCAGGUUGAAGGUUGAGUAACAUCAACUGGAGGACCGAACCGACUAAUGUUGAAAAAUUAGCGGAUGACUUGUGGCUAGGGGUGAAAGGCCAAUCAAACUCGGAGAUAGCUGGUUCUCCCCGAAAGCUAUUUAGGUAGCGCCUCGGACGAAUACUACUGGGGGUAGAGCACUGUUAAGGCUAGGGGGUCAUCCCGACUUACCAACCCUUUGCAAACUCCGAAUACCAGUAAGUACUAUCCGGGAGACACACGGCGGGUGCUAACGUCCGUCGUGGAGAGGGAAACAACCCAGACCGCCAGCUAAGGUCCCAAAGUAUUGCUAAGUGGGAAACGAUGUGGGAAGGCUCAGACAGCUAGGAUGUUGGCUUAGAAGCAGCCAUCAUUUAAAGAAAGCGUAAUAGCUCACUAGUCGAGUCGGCCUGCGCGGAAGAUGUAACGGGGCUAAGCAAUACACCGAAGCUGCGGCAAUGUCUUUUAGACAUUGGGUAGGGGAGCGUUCUGUAAGCCGUUGAAGGUGAAUCGUAAGGUUUGCUGGAGGUAUCAGAAGUGCGAAUGCUGACAUGAGUAACGACAAAGGGGGUGAAAAACCUCCUCGCCGGAAGACCAAGGGUUCCUGUCCAACGUUAAUCGGGGCAGGGUGAGUCGACCCCUAAGGUGAGGCCGAAAGGCGUAAUCGAUGGGAAACGGGUUAAUAUUCCCGUACUUCUGACUAUUGCGAUGGGGGGACGGAGAAGGCUAGGUGGGCCAGGCGACGGUUGUCCUGGUUCAAGUGCGUAGGCUUGAGAGUUAGGUAAAUCCGGCUCUCUCUAAGGCUGAGACACGACGUCGAGCUACUACGGUAGUGAAGUCAUUGAUGCCAUGCUUCCAGGAAAAGCCUCUAAGCUUCAGAUAGUCAGGAAUCGUACCCCAAACCGACACAGGUGGUCGGGUAGAGAAUACCAAGGCGCUUGAGAGAACUCGGGUGAAGGAACUAGGCAAAAUGGUACCGUAACUUCGGGAGAAGGUACGCUCUUGAUGGUGAAGUCCCUCGCGGAUGGAGCUGACGAGAGUCGCAGAUACCAGGUGGCUGCAACUGUUUAUUAAAAACACAGCACUGUGCAAAAUCGCAAGAUGACGUAUACGGUGUGACGCCUGCCCGGUGCCGGAAGGUUAAUUGAUGGGGUUAGCGCAAGCGAAGCUCUUGAUCGAAGCCCCGGUAAACGGCGGCCGUAACUAUAACGGUCCUAAGGUAGCGAAAUUCCUUGUCGGGUAAGUUCCGACCUGCACGAAUGGCGUAAUGAUGGCCACGCUGUCUCCACCCGAGACUCAGUGAAAUUGAAAUCGCUGUGAAGAUGCAGUGUACCCGCGGCUAGACGGAAAGACCCCGUGAACCUUUACUACAGCUUGGCACUGAACAUUGAACCUACAUGUGUAGGAUAGGUGGGAGGCUAUGAAGACGUGACGCCAGUUGCGUUGGAGCCGUCCUUGAAAUACCACCCUUGUAUGUUUGAUGUUCUAACUUAGACCCAUUAUCUGGGUUGAGGACAGUGCCUGGUGGGUAGUUUGACUGGGGCGGUCUCCUCCCAAAGAGUAACGGAGGAGCACGAAGGUGGGCUAAUCACGGUUGGACAUCGUGAGGUUAGUGCAAUGGCAUAAGCCCGCUUAACUGCGAGAAUGACGGUUCGAGCAGGUGCGAAAGCAGGUCAUAGUGAUCCGGUGGUUCUGUAUGGAAGGGCCAUCGCUCAACGGAUAAAAGGUACUCCGGGGAUAACAGGCUGAUACCGCCCAAGAGUUCAUAUCGACGGCGGUGUUUGGCACCUCGAUGUCGGCUCAUCACAUCCUGGGGCUGAAGUCGGUCCCAAGGGUAUGGCUGUUCGCCAUUUAAAGUGGUACGCGAGCUGGGUUUAGAACGUCGUGAGACAGUUCGGUCCCUAUCUGCCGUGGGCGUUGGAAGAUUGAAGGGGGCUGCUCCUAGUACGAGAGGACCGGAGUGGACGAACCUCUGGUGUUCGGGUUGUGUCGCCAGACGCAUUGCCCGGUAGCUAAGUUCGGAAUUGAUAAGCGCUGAAAGCAUCUAAGCGCGAAGCGAGCCCUGAGAUGAGUCUUCCCUGACAGUUUAACUGUCCUAAAGGGUUGUUCGAGACUAGAACGUUGAUAGGCAGGGUGUGUAAGCGUUGUGAGGCGUUGAGCUAACCUGUACUAAUUGCCCGUGAGGCUUAACCAU
This 2648-nucleotide ribosomal RNA is filed under the name Vibrio cholerae. Its description in RNAcentral is "partial 23S ribosomal RNA". It matches the Rfam family "Bacterial large subunit ribosomal RNA". The record is from RNAcentral. Lineage: Bacteria; Pseudomonadati; Pseudomonadota; Gammaproteobacteria; Vibrionales; Vibrionaceae.